GUGCCGUGAGGUGUCCGGUUAAGUCCGGUAACGAGCGCAACCCUCGCCCUGUGUUACAUGUGUCACAGGGGACUGCCGGUAUAAAGCCGGAGGAAGGUGGGGAUGACGUCAAGUCCGCAUGGCCUUUAUAUCCAGGGCUACACACACGCUACAAUGGCCGGUACAAUGGGUCGCGAAGCCGCGAGGCGGAGCCAAUCCUAAAAAGCCGGUCUCAGUUCGGAUCGCAGGCUGCAACCCGCCUGCGUGAAGUCGGAGUUGCUAGUAACCGCAGGACAGCUAUACUGCGGUGAAUACGUUCCCGGGCCU
Molecule: ribosomal RNA, 306 nt
Filed under: uncultured bacterium
Lineage: Bacteria
Description: bacterial SSU rRNA
Rfam family: Bacterial small subunit ribosomal RNA
Source: RNAcentral